Molecule: ribosomal RNA, 690 nt
Filed under: uncultured Acidobacteriota bacterium
Lineage: Bacteria; Pseudomonadati; Acidobacteriota
Description: bacterial SSU rRNA
Rfam family: Bacterial small subunit ribosomal RNA
Source: RNAcentral
GAUCCUGGCUCAGAAUCAACGCUGGCGGCGUGCCUAACACAUGCAAGUCGAACGCGAAAGGGGAGCAAUCCCUGAGUAGAGUGGCAAACGGGUGAGUAACACGUGGGUGACCUGCCUUCGAGUGGGGGAUAACGUUCCGAAAGGAACGCUAAUACCGCAUGACAUCCUGCUUUUGGAAAAGCGGAGAUCAAAGCUGGGGAUUCGCAAGAACCUAGCGCUUGAAGAGGGGCCCGCGCCUGAUUAGCUAGUUGGUGAGGUAACGGCUCACCAAGGCUACGAUCAGUAUCCGGCCUGAGAGGGCGGACGGACACACUGGGACUGAGACACGGCCCAGACUCCUACGGGAGGCAGCAGUGGGGAAUUGUUCGCAAUGGGCGCAAGCCUGACGACGCAACGCCGCGUGGAGGAUGAAGAUUUUCGGAUCGUAAACUCCUGUCGAGUGGGAAGAAUAGCUUUCGGGCAAAUAUCCCGAGAGUCUGACGGUACCACUAAAGGAAGCCCCGGCUAACUCCGUGCCAGCAGCCGCGGUAAUACGGGGGGGGCAAGCGUUGUUCGGAAUUACUGGGCGUAAAGGGCUCGUAGGCGGCCCACUAAGUCAGAUGUGAAAUCCCCAGGCUCAACCUGGGAACUGCAUCUGAUACUGGUGGGCUUGAAUUCGGGAGAGGGAUGCAGAAUUCCAGGUGUAGCGGU